UCCGAAUUGGUGUAGUGGCUAACAUUUGACGCUCUCAUGUCUGAACAACAUCAGAACCGUCAAGCCCGGGGUUCGAUUCCCCGAUUCGGAG
Molecule: non-coding RNA, 91 nt
Organism: Hypoxylon fuscum
Lineage: Eukaryota; Fungi; Ascomycota; Sordariomycetes; Xylariales; Hypoxylaceae
Source: the annotation of a GenBank genome assembly